Phascolarctos cinereus (koala) is the source of this 559-nucleotide non-coding RNA. The record is from RefSeq and is a predicted model, not a curated record. NCBI's taxonomy places the organism in Eukaryota, Metazoa, Chordata, Mammalia, Diprotodontia, Phascolarctidae.
UUGGUUACCUGAGAAGAACUGAGAAAAUGUAUCUCAUCCCCUUCACUGCAGAGUUGGAGACUAUGAGUGCUGAACAUUGUAUACACUGUUAGACACAGCCAUGGUUGGUUAGGCCCUGAGAACUCACCCUGCCACCAAACGCUGUGCUCUUCUCUUGCUCACUGGACGUUUUCCACUGGUGAUGCCCACAGACUGGAACAGGCAUUCAUGUCCUUGGAGGGUUGGACCAGCAUACAGCGGAGGAUCUUUUCACCAAUGCCUCUUAACAACUUCUCUGUACUUCAGGUUGCUUAGGACACUGGCUGGUUCAAGGUCUGGCCUAAGGUUGCAUAGCUGAUGAGUCAGAAGCAGAAUUUAAGUUGAUUCCAAGGCCAUAAGCAUAUCCAGAAGCUACUUCUCACACCUUUUACAGUUUGGAUUGUUUUUAUUUUGUUUUGCUUUUCUGUUUUUGUUUUUGUCAUAUAAUGAAUAGAGAGCAGGCCUCAGAGUCAAGGGGAGCUGAGUUCAGCUCCUGCCUCCAUCUCAUCCUGGUUCGGUGGCUGUGGGUAAGUCACUCCAC